GACGAACGCUGACGGUGUGCUUUAGACAUGCAAGUCGAACGAGAAAGCCCUUCGGGUUAGUAAAGUAGGCGAACGGGUGAGUAACACGUGGGCAAUCUGCCCCUCGCAGGGGGACGAACCGGAGGAAACCCCGGCUAAUACCCCGCAGUUCAAAGGGAGGCAUCUCCCCUUGAAGAAAGGUAGCUUCGGCCAUCCGGCGAGGGAUGAGCCCGCGGUGCAUUAGCUAGUUGGGUGGGGUAACGGCCCACCAAGGCGACGANGCAUAGCUGGUCUGAGAGGAUGAUCAGCCACACUGGGACUGAGACACGGCCCAGACUCCUACGGGAGGCAGCAGUCGGGGAAUCUUGCGCAAUGGGCGAAAGCCUGACGCAGCAACACCGUGUGUGUGAGGAAGGCCCUCGGGUCGUAAAGCACUGUUGGUGGGGGACGAAGGGCGGAAGGGUUAAUAGCCCCUAGCUUGACGGGUACCCUUCGAGGAAGCCCCGGCUAACUACGUGCCAGCCGCCGCCGUAAC
Molecule: ribosomal RNA, 514 nt
Filed under: uncultured bacterium
Lineage: Bacteria
Description: partial 16S ribosomal RNA
Rfam family: Bacterial small subunit ribosomal RNA
Source: RNAcentral